Long non-coding RNA from Dermacentor silvarum, 438 nucleotides. RefSeq lists it as uncharacterized. The transcript is spliced from 3 exons. Lineage: Eukaryota; Metazoa; Arthropoda; Arachnida; Ixodida; Ixodidae. The record is from RefSeq and is a predicted model, not a curated record.
AGCAGCGCCGCAGUUUACACCGCAAGAGGAUGCAGCGCAGCAACGGUCGUAGCGGCUAGCUGAUAAAGCAGAGUUGCGCGUCCUCGAAUACGCCGCCGCAGUCUCAGCAAACGGGCUCUCGAGACUUCCAAACACUCCAUCACACAAGUAUGAGCACCUUUGCUAUAUCCAGGGGCGCCUUCCCUAAACAUGUAAGAAGACCUGCUGAAGAAGCUAGCCCGGUAGCCUGUUUUCGUACACAAGGAGCCCACAAGAAUUUUAGUGCCUUCAGUGCGCCAAAAAGCCAAGGUGAAAUUUGAAAUGGAGGGAGGACGGAAUCUGUUUGGAAUCGUGGAGAGGCAGACGCACCAUACCCGAGAAAGCGCAUGGAGAACAUGGGAAGAAGUCCAGCCUUAUUCGCUUUGCAUACUCUUUAGGCUACCACCGUGAGCACCUAGA